Molecule: long non-coding RNA, 284 nt
Filed under: Malus domestica (apple)
Lineage: Eukaryota; Viridiplantae; Streptophyta; Magnoliopsida; Rosales; Rosaceae
Description: long non-coding RNA (MDOM_LNC003653)
Source: RNAcentral
UCUUCAUCUUUAUCUGCCAGAAAUCAAAGUUUUCCCCAUUGAAAAUCGGCGCCCGAAGAUCAGCACCACUCGAUCCAGCCAUAUUAGACUUGUUAUCGAGUUACCCAGUUAUUUUCAGAUUGUUCUUCAAUCGCAGCAAACUCGAUUCUCUGUCGAGUUCCUUAGCUACAACCCUUGUCACAGAUUCACGCCCAGAUUGAGAUCCAACCUGGCUCUGAGGCCAUAUUAGAGUUUGAUUUUGGGUAGAUUCAAUGGAACAGUAAAACCAUACACUAAGAACAGAG